AACUAUCAAAUCACCUCUCUUGAGGUGUUUUGGACUUUGGGAGCAUUUUGCUGGUCUGUUUGAGCCAGCUCUCCUCAAAAGCAUUAGCUAUGGAGACCAUCAGUGUGAUAACUUUGUUUACACUGACUGAGUGUGUCUCUGCUUCUUAAAAUGCCCC
RNAcentral lists this unclassified non-coding RNA (157 nucleotides) under uncultured Amanita. RNAcentral describes it as "sequence contains ITS2". The record is from RNAcentral. Lineage: Eukaryota; Fungi; Basidiomycota; Agaricomycetes; Agaricales; Amanitaceae.